ACCUGGGUGGCUCAGUCAGUUGAGUGUCUGACUUCGGCCCAGGUCAUGAUCCUGUGCUUUGUGGGUUCAAGUCCCACGUCGGGCU
Non-coding RNA from Felis catus (domestic cat), 85 nucleotides. The record is from Rfam. NCBI's taxonomy places the organism in Eukaryota, Metazoa, Chordata, Mammalia, Carnivora, Felidae.